UACGUAGGGCGCAAGCGUUGUCCGGAAUUAUUGGGCGUAAAGAGCUCGUAGGCGGUUUGUCGCGUCUGCUGUGAAAACCUAAGGCUCAACCUUGGGCUUGCAGUGGGUACGGGCAGACUAGAGUGCGGUAGGGGUGACUGGAAUUCCUGGUGUAGCGGUGGAAUGCGCAGAUAUCAGGAGGAACACCGAUGGGCGAAGGCAGGUCACUGGGCCGCAACUGACGCUGGAUGGACACGAAAGCUGGGGGAGCAAACAGG
Molecule: ribosomal RNA, 257 nt
Filed under: uncultured bacterium
Lineage: Bacteria
Description: partial 16S ribosomal RNA
Rfam family: Bacterial small subunit ribosomal RNA
Source: RNAcentral